UACGUUCCCGGACCUUGUACACACCGCCCGUCAAGCCAUGAGAGGUCGGGGGGACCUGAAGACAGUUGCUGUAAGGCGCUUGGUUUAAGGGUUAAACCGAUGAGUUAGGGCU
Molecule: ribosomal RNA, 112 nt
Filed under: uncultured bacterium
Lineage: Bacteria
Description: partial 16S ribosomal RNA
Source: RNAcentral